This 494-nucleotide ribosomal RNA is filed under the name uncultured bacterium. RNAcentral's name for it is "partial 16S ribosomal RNA". It matches the Rfam family "Bacterial small subunit ribosomal RNA", at positions 28 to 507 of the family's 1533-position model. The record is from RNAcentral.
GACGAACGCUGGCGGCGUGCUUAACACAUGCAAGUCGAACGGAAAGGCCUGCUUUCCCUUGUGGAUUGCGGGUACUCGAGUGGCGAACGGGUGAGUAACACGUGAGUGAUCUGCCCCCAACUUGGGUAUAAGCCUGGGAAACUGGGUCUAAUUCCCGAUAGGACUGCAGGGUGGUGCCUGUGGUGGAAAACGAUUUUCUAGUGGUUGGGGAUGAGCUCGCGGCCUAUCAGCUUGUUGGUGGGGUAAUGGCCUACCAAGGCGGCGACGGGUAGCCGGCCUGAGGGGGUGGACGGCCACAUUGGGACUGCGAUACGGCCCAGACUCCUACGGGAGGCAGCAGUGGGGAAUAUUGCACGAUGGGCGGAAGCCUGAUGCAGCGACGCCGCGUGGGGGAUGACGGCCUUCGGGUUGUAAACUCCUUUCGACCGCGAGGAAGCCACCUGGUUGGAAGGGUGGUGACGGUAGUGGUAGAAGAAGCACCGGCUAACUACGUG